GCAUAGACAACGGGGAGCCCGGUGAGGCCGGGCUGAGAGGAGGGCCGUCCAGCCCUCGACCCGCAGAACCUGAUCCGGGUAAUGCCGGCGGAGGGACGAUAACCUCAGGUUAA
RNAcentral lists this non-coding RNA (113 nucleotides) under Thermanaerothrix daxensis. RNAcentral's name for it is "TPP sequence". It matches the Rfam family "TPP riboswitch aptamer (THI element)". From Rfam's summary of the family: Vitamin B(1) in its active form thiamin pyrophosphate (TPP) is an essential coenzyme that is synthesised by coupling of pyrimidine and thiazole moieties in bacteria. The previously detected thiamin-regulatory element, thi box was extended, resulting in a new, highly conserved RNA secondary structure, the THI element, which is widely distributed in eubacteria and also occurs in some archaea. The record is from Rfam by way of RNAcentral. Lineage: Bacteria; Bacillati; Chloroflexota; Anaerolineae; Anaerolineales; Anaerolineaceae.